Molecule: ribosomal RNA, 496 nt
Filed under: uncultured bacterium
Lineage: Bacteria
Description: partial 16S ribosomal RNA
Rfam family: Bacterial small subunit ribosomal RNA
Source: RNAcentral
GAUGAACGCUGGCGGCGUGCCUAAUACAUGCAAGUCGAGCGAACAGACGAGGAGCUUGCUCCUCUGACGUUAGCGGCGGACGGGUGAGUAACACGUGGAUAACCUACCUAUAAGACUGGGAUAACUUCGGGAAACCGGAGCUAAUACCGGAUAAUAUAUUGAACCGCAUGGUUCAAUAGUGAAAGACGGUUUUGCUGUCACUUAUAGAUGGAUCCGCGCCGCAUUAGCUAGUUGGUAAGGUAACGGCUUACAAGGCGACGAUGCGUAGCCGACCUGAGAGGGUGAUCGGCCACACUGGAACUGGGACACGGUCCAGACUCCUACGGGAGGCAGCAGUAGGGAAUCUUCCGCAAUGGGCGAAAGCCUGACGGAGCAACGCCGCGUGAGUGAUGAAGGUCUUCGGAUCGUAAAGCUCUGUUAUUAGGGAAGAACAAAUGUGUAAGUAACUAUACACGUCUUGACGGUACCUGAUCAGAAAGCCACGGCUAACUACGUG